AAUUAAAUUAAUUAAAAUUAAAUUAAUUUAUCUUAUCAAUUUUAGAUAAAAUUGAUUAUCUAAAAUACCAACUUAGUCUGCAGCUAAAAACUAGCUAAACUAAGGUUGGUUGGUUGGUUUAACUAACUAUAACCUUCUGUGUCUCACUUUUCCUCAAACUUAUUGCGAUAAAACAUCCGUCUACGUUCAGUAAACCAUCUCUGAUAAUAGCAGCUUAGAACAUCACUUCAAUAAAAUCCAGAUUGUCACUUUAAAUGGCACAUGGCUACUGUUGCUAAGCUAAUGUUGUAUUGAACUAAAACAACUAGAAUAGACAUCGGUGUUUAUAUAAAAAUGUUGCUAAAUGCUGAGCUUUUCUUCUGGUAAAACCUGAAAGAAGCGUCUUUAACGGUGGCUCAUUUAAUAAAACCUCAUGAUGCAGUGAAACAGGAAGUGGGCUGUUGGUGUUCGAAGCUCCAGCUCCUAACGGGACCAUGGACCUGCUGACUGUUAACUGUCUCCAACUGCAGUCCACUCAUGUUCAGGGGACGGUCGCCCCUUUCUCUUUCUCUAUUAAAUAUCUUGUUUAACUUUGCUGGAGUGUUCUUUGUAAAUGUAUACAGUGGGCACACGUGGACACUCUCCUGCAUUUGUUUACAGCGCACUAACAUGCAGACGUACUGUGGUGUUGAAGAACGUCUUUCUGAGUGCUUCUUUUGGUCUCGCUUGUCAUUUCAGAACACAAUUACCAACAGUGUGAAAGUGAGAACUUUAGCAGUCACACACAUUCACACAUGUACAGACUAAAGGCUUUCUUCAUCGUUAAUAUUUACAUUAUUGUCAGAUGGUUUACUUCCUGGUUUUAAAGACUCCAUUAGGGGGCCUUAGAAGUCCACUUAAGAGGUCCAUGAAAAAGAGGCCUGUAACUCCAGAUUUCUGGUUGGUUUAUCUUAUAAAGUGAUUUCCAAAUACAUGAAAAUGCUCAAGCUGCCUCCCCCAACUUCCUUUAUGUUGGUCAACCUCAACCUGCUCUGUAUCAGUGGCCAUCUGUGAAUCAUGCUCCACUCAAUUCAGUUGCGCACAGCAAGAAAAUCUGUUUAGGAUGGACAUUUGAUCAAAUCUGGAGUUUGCAUCUGCUCUGGUGACGUCCCACAUCUCCCACAUGACCCCGUCAGCAUCAGCAUCUGGCAUUAAUAGGGAGCUAAUGAGUCUCCUCUCUUCCUCGUUGGGUCGUUUAUCUCCUGUAGCUUCCUAUUGUCUCUGCUGGGAAUGAGGGUAAAAACAAUUAUGACUGGACAGACGGCCUUAAACCUGCCGCAAACCAUUCACAAAAAUGGGAAUUUGUAGAAAAGGUGUUGAGAUGAAAAUGACUCCAAUAGAGUCAAAUUCUAAUUGGAUUUACAAACUUUUUCCUUUGGAAAUUGGUAACAAAACAAACAAAGUUAAAAUAAAAACUUUUGAUAUUCAAAGGGAAUACACUGGCUCCACUGACAAAGGUUUGCAAUUAUAAACACUGUUUCAAUGUUUUAUGGAAACGUGAACAACCAUCUGGUGAAAAAGAUGAACAAAUUAACAAAUAUGUAGAAGGAUAGACUGAUCAAUUGGUAGAAAUAUGACUGAACAUAGAUGAUAGAAUGGAUGCAAAAAGUCUGAAAAUAUAAAUAUGGAUGAAGGAUGUACAGUGAUUCAGCAAAUAAAGUUUAAAGAUGCUAACAUAUUUCCAGACUCUUUAGGAACUCUGAUUAUUUCCAUCUCUCACCUUUAAAUCUAUAUUUUUCUCUUUAUAUACAUUACAGUUUCUCUUGAUUUACUAUUCCAGAAGAAAUAAAACCAAAUUCAAACAGCAUUUUCACAGCAGACUGCGACAUUUAAAUUACCACGGGAAAAAGGAGCAUAAUUGGAACUAAUAACAUCAACAAUUGCUCCACUUCAGCAGUAAAGAUAAUGCAGUUAAAAUCCCAUGAAACAACAGUGUGGAUAGUCUAAAUGGUUUCUCUUUUCUUUCCUACUCACACGUGUUAAAAUGACUUGAAGAUGGGAAAUGGAAAUGAGUUUCCCCAGGCUCAGAGCACUUCCUAUGCAACCAACUGGUGGAACGUUAAUAGUAAAUACCUGUUUAUAUCAAUACAGCAGAGACAUUACAUGUGAAAUAAAGCAGUUAAUAUGUUGUUUCUCCAGUUACUGCCACUGGUAAAAUUAAACUGUCAAAACAAUAAUAGCAAUUAUUUGGGCUAUCAUAAGAGAAAACGAAUGGGGGUUAAUUUUUCAAUCAUAUUUUCACCAUUUAGUUAUUCAGUCAUUUAUAAAUGUCAGUUUCAAACUAAAUUUUUAAUUAGCAAGCUAAGGAUUCAGUUUAUGCUAGCUAUGUACAAACUACAUAUCUAGCUCCAAACUAAAUAUUAAGUUGGCCAGCUAAAUAGUUAGCUCCAAACUAAAUAUGUUAGCCAGCUACAUAUCUAGCCCCAAACUAAAUAUUAAGUUGGCCAGCUAAAUAGUUAGCUCCAAACUAAAUAUGUUAGCCAGCUACAUAUCUAGCCCCAAACUAAACAUUAAGUUAGCAAGCUAAAUAGUUAGCCACAAACUAAAUAGUAAGCUAGCAAACUGCUUAGUUAGCUUCAAACAAUAUUAGUUUGGAGCUACAUAUUUCGUUUUCACGAUAUGAAAUUCAGCCAGCUAAUUAAAUAUUACUUUGAAUAUGAAUGAAUAACGUGGUGAAAUUAACUGAAAAGUGAACCGCCAUUUUUUUCUCUUACUACAGACUGAAUAAUCUGAAUUAUUGCUUCUCUGACUAUAACAGCACCCUAUAGAUGACCUGAGAAGAGAUGUACCCCAAAAUAACGAGGUACUGUUCACAUCGAAACAUGGAGCUAUACUGGUCUGCAGCACAAAUUAUAGCACUGAAGUUUAUUUUAUCAACAAAAAGCAGAUAUUGUUUGGACUUCCGGUACUUUGAGACGUCUGGACUUUUCAGCCAGCUGCAGUACUUCCAGUGAACUGUAAUUGUAUCUGUGCAAAAAUAUAAACUGUAAACUCAACCACUAACAAGCUAUGGUACAAAAUCUGUGAACUAGCUACUCAAAUUUAUGCCAAACCCUUUCCAGAGCUUACACUUCAAGACUCUGCCCAUGCAUGGCUGUGCUACUAUUACACCACAAGUUAUUUUGACAGAAAACGGAUCUCUUGCUCACACAACACACCUCCACUUCAAUACACAUCACAAUGUCAUCUGCAAACAUCAUUUCCUCUGUCAACCUUUCCAAACAAUAUUCCAAACAGACUUAAAUACCAAGAGAAAUUGUACAAUUAGAUGAGUCUGUCAUUUUGUCCCUGAACAAAUCUGCUCAGCAAAUUCUUACCCACUCUUUGCUAUUUACUCGUUCCUACCUCCUUUUCACAAUUGUCAGUAAACAAUUUCGUUCCCAUGUCAGAUCUUGUGUGCAUUUUAAGUUUUUGAAAUCCACUUUUAAUCCGUGUUGGCCAGAUUAUCCUUCUGAAAUAAGAGACUUCACACCAGAUCAAAAUAAUUUUGAGUAGUCAAAGUGGGUAACAGAAUAUUCCUAAACUAGGCAGGAACUGACGAAUAGUCGGCACGAAAUGACAAAUGUGCAAAGGUUUGACAUGGCAACGGAGCAAAAUGUUCAAAUUAAACCAACCUUAACACAGGGUUUCUAUGCUAGCAGCCCUAUGAAAUGGAUUUCCAGGACUAAUAUUUACUUUUCUCUGAAAGGCAGUGAUCUCCCUGGCAACCAUGGGUAACCCUGGUUGUUGGUUAAACGGCUUGUUUUAGUUUCAAUCCUGAUGGACAGACACCGUCAAUCAGUUUUACAACAUGCCAGGCAUGAAGAAAUAUCCCCCAAAUAGUCUCAUCUUCAGUUCAGCUGCAGGGGUAAACCGCUCUUUGCACUAGAGAUGAAAGGUUUAGAUUAUUUUUAAUCAUGGCACUGAGUCAUGUACCUUAAUACUGAUCGGAGCCUGAAGCAUCCAUCUAUCACCAAACUCAACGCAGCCUGAUCUUUUGGGAUGAUUUAACCUCGUUAGUGGAUCUCUAAUUUUUUAACAUCAUUUAUCCGGCUGACUUCCUUCUCUCCAAGCACUUGUCUCUUGAUAAUUGUAUAAAAUCAGCUCCUGUCUAGGCUGAAAGCAAAACUCAAAAGAUACUCCCUCCGUAACGCUUCACUUUGUCACAAUCCUUUCUACCUCACUUUUGGAAACAUUUACAUGGUGGUUUUUAAACAUUCCUAAAACAGUCGUUUGUGUGUCCACUAGACUCGGUUCGAUUAAGGACCAAAACUGCAACAUUUGUUACAUUUUCAGCUGCUGCGGUUCGCUUUCACACUGUAAUGUAAAACAAACCAAAUACUUUGGAAAACCUGUUCCUACCCUCUCCUGUGGUGGCGCUGCACCAAGAACUCCUCAAGAAAACAACAGGGAAACCUCUGAAGAAGACACAGAGCUUCCUUCUCAACGAAUCGUAAACAAAAACAGAGUGGCGUCAGAUUUUAUCAGUGGUAGGGUUUCUCUUUAAUCUUUGGUUAAAAACAAAAAAAAGAGCCAUUUCUCCUGAUAGCACUAGACUCGCACGUUUGUUUUGGUAUUUACCCAGAAUGCCCUGCAGUCUCCGGCUUUUGGCGAACUAAUGUUUGCAUCAGAGUUUGAUUCACAAAUCCCCAAACAAACCAGUCUGAUUAAAGUGGACUAAACAGGGUCGGUGUGAAUGCACCCUAAAAGCCACAUCCCACGUUUACAUAUGCUGUAAGCUGAUAUUUCUUGUGCUGUGAACCAGUAUAAGAAACAUAUUUUGAGGAGAUAAGAUUAGAACAGUAAUUAAACCCGCAGCUUAUGUUGGCAGAUGUUAACAGACUCGUCUAAAAAAAAAAAAAAGAUUCAACUUAAUUUGGGACAUCUAAGCCAAAGGCACACAGCUAUGAGUCAGACAGGUGAAUAAAAACGUAGGCAAA
Molecule: long non-coding RNA, 4937 nt
Organism: Poecilia latipinna (sailfin molly)
Lineage: Eukaryota; Metazoa; Chordata; Actinopteri; Cyprinodontiformes; Poeciliidae
Exons: 2
Source: RefSeq, a predicted model, not a curated record